Long non-coding RNA from Echinops telfairi (small Madagascar hedgehog), 1257 nucleotides. RefSeq lists it as uncharacterized. The record is from RefSeq and is a predicted model, not a curated record. Lineage: Eukaryota; Metazoa; Chordata; Mammalia; Afrosoricida; Tenrecidae. The transcript is spliced from 3 exons.
AACUAUUUCUGGGAAGAGAGAGAGGAAGGGGAGGGAAGCCCCUGUCGGCUGGAAACUAAAUGAACAAGAGCAAAGAGCAUGAGUCUGGUGUCUCAGGGUGGUCUGGAGCCCACCUACCAAGACACUUCUUAACGUAGACCACGUUUCGGGAGAAAACAGUUCUGAUUUUUCAGUCUAGUGACUUGGUGCUGAGGACCUGGAGUGAACGGGAAGAACAAACCCUGACGAGAGGAGAGACGGCUCAGAAGACAACAAAACGUGUACUGCUUUCCUCGCUGGGCUUGCAAAGGGGGCACUGUGCCUCUUUCACCCUCUGAUUGGUUGGAGUCCAGUGAAAUGGUGGUGCCUAUUUUAACCCCCGAAUCAAGCACUGGAAGUCCUUCGAGAUGGAUUUUGAAAUUAGCUUUUGAGGGAACUGUGAUGUGGCUGGACUGACCUGCAGAAGAUGGUACGGCUGGGUCUGCGAGCUGGGCACUGCUGCUCCCGGACAGCUGCCAACGCAAGAACAGAAUCAUCAUGCCACAGGGAAGGACCCGUUGGAUGCAGAAAAUUCUAUGCAGAGAGCGCUCAGGCAUUUUGACGUGAACUGCACUUCCUUCUGCUAUAAGGGCAUACUCGCUCCGUACACAGGGCUGCAUGAUCUGCCACUGCUGAAACAGGAGGUGGUGGUAAUUUUGAAAACGAUCCAUGCUGUAAUGUCAUGAACCAGGAAGCUGGAAUCAGUUACCAGCUCUUUAUGCAAAUAUUUGGCUGCAGCUUGGGCGAAAGGACUUGAAAGGCGUGGGUUUUAAAAAACCGGCUUCGGUGCGAGCUCGCAUUCACCCCAUCCCUCCCCCGGAUUGGCCUGUUUGUCUGCCUCCCCACGUUAUCUCCCUGAGGAAAAGCUGUGGAAAGUCACCCGGAUCGAAUCACCCCCGACCCGGGGGACCCUGGCCCAGGAGAAGCAGUGGAGUUACCGGACAUGGUGGCCAGCUGAGGCUGGGUCGGUGGCUGGAUGCUGCAGCUGCAGGGGUUCAGCGCCUUGCAGGGCUCCUGUGCAGGAGAGAAGCAGAGAUGCAACAUUUUUAAAGUUUCACAAAGCAUCCGGCUGCACCCGGGCCCCUGGAGCAGGAGACAAACAGAAUUAAUGGUUUAUACCUUCGGGUAUAGGUUUGAGAUUUUUCCCCCUCAUGCCAAGUAUUUAAAACCUCUAGAAACCCAUGAUUUGACAAUCAAUGAUUGCGCGAUACUUUCAAUUUGAAUAUUCAAAGGGCAGAC